Macaca fascicularis (crab-eating macaque) is the source of this 1794-nucleotide long non-coding RNA. NCBI's taxonomy places the organism in Eukaryota, Metazoa, Chordata, Mammalia, Primates, Cercopithecidae. The record is from Ensembl.
CAGCCAUAUAUCGCAAUACACAGUAUACCCAGGGCUCAGGAAGGGAAGAAAAAUCACAUCAUCUAGUUGCUGCAUUUGAUGAUAUGUCACAAUCACUUGUUUUUGCAGAGCCCAGACAGAAAAGAAGAGUCACAUCUCCUAGUUGAUGGAUGCAGAGAUAAGGCAAAAGGCUCCUUGUGGGCAGGACCCAGGCAGAAGGCUCUCACGCCCUAGGUGUUUGUCUCAGACAUAUGUCACACUACCAAAUAUAAGCAGGGCCCAGGCAAACAAGGAGUUUAGUGAUAUGUUACAAUCCCCACUCUUGGCAGGGACAGGACGCACACACACACAAGCAAAGGCACAUCACCUAGGUGAUUAAAAAAACAAACAAAAAGAUAUGUCAUGAUACCCCCUGUAGGCAGGGCCCAUGCAGAAGAGUCUCAUCACCUAGGUUUUAGACCCAGUUAUUUGUCACAAUACACAAUUUAUGCAAGACUCACACAAAAGAGGAAAGUCACAUAACGUAGGUGCUGGGUUCAGUGAUACAUUAUAAUCUCUCCUUGGGUAGAGUCCAAGCAGUAGAAAAGAGUUACAUUACCUGGGUACUUGGACCAGGAAUUUGUCACAAUACCUCCCGAGGAAAGAGUCCAGGAAGGGGAGUCACAUCACCUAAUUGAGGGGCUCAAAGAUAUAUUUCCCAGAGCUCCUUGUGGGUAGAGCUGAGGAUAAUCAAAAGAGUCACACAACCUAGGGGCUGGGCUCAGCUAUAUGUCACAACUACCCUAGGUGCAAGUCUCUGGUAUGAGGAAGAGUCACAUCACGUAGGUGCUGGGCCAAGCAAUAUGUUACAAUCCCCACUGUAGGAAGGUCUCAGGAAAAUAGAAGAAUCACAUUAUCUGGUUGAUCGGCACAGGAACAUAUCACAAUUACCCUAGACUGAAGUGUUACAUCCCCUGUGUGUGAAGUCCAGUGAUAAGCCACUCUUCCUUUUGUGCACAGGGUUUAAGCAAAAGAUGAAAGUCACAUCACCUAGCCGCUGGGCUUACAGAAUUGUCUCAAGCCCUCCUACGGUCAAAGCCUAUUUAAGAGACAAGAAUUAUAUUAGCUGCUCUGCCUAUGGAGCAGCCAUUUUUUUGUUUGUUUGUUUCUUUACUUCUCUAAUAAACUUGCUUUUGUUUUACUGCAUGGACUCACCCUGACUUCUUGGGGUCUGGGUCAAAAGCCCUUUUCAGUAACAGCUUUCUGGCAAACUAUAAAGGGACCAUACUGAGGAGAAAACUUAACUGAAGGAAAUAAACUGCAGCACUAAUUAGCCAACUUGGGGUAAGUAGUGGGGUAAACUUUACCAGGGUAAAAAAUGGGAUUGGGUUACAGGCCCAACAUAGAAGAGUUAGAGUCUCUCCUAAGACAUACUGGGUUAAAGAACUCUCUUAAUAAAAAGCUUGAGGCCUAAGUUAGGAAGCUUCGAGUCCUUUCUAAAAUUUAGGGUGUUGGCUGGGCAUGGUGGUUCACAUCUGUAAUCUCAGCACUUUGGGAAGCCUGGCAGGUGGAUCACCUGAGGUCAGGAGUUCGAGACCCGCCUGACCAACAUGGAGAAACCCGUCUCUACUAAAAAUACAAAAACUAGCUAGGCGUGGUGACACAUACCUGUAAUCCUAGCUACUCGGGAGGCUGAGGUGGGAAAAUCACUUGAACAUGGGAAGCGGAGAUCACUUAAAUGCAGUUAACCAAGAUCGUGCCAUUGCACUCCAGUCUGGGCAACAACAGGGAAACUCUGGCUCAAAAAAAAAAAAAAAAAAAAAAAAAAAAAAAAAA